Molecule: unclassified non-coding RNA, 778 nt
Filed under: Hevea brasiliensis (rubber tree)
Lineage: Eukaryota; Viridiplantae; Streptophyta; Magnoliopsida; Malpighiales; Euphorbiaceae
Source: RNAcentral
GGUAUUUUGUUUCUUGUACUCUCAUAAUUAAUAACAUCUUACAUGGCCUUGAUCAGAUGUGGUUGUCUCUUUUAUGUACGUAUAUGUCAUGUUUUGGUAACUGAAUUUUUGGUGCCUAAAGCCCACUGCUUGUGUAGGAAUCACACAAUUUCAGAUGCAUCAUCUGGAGUUUUAAGUUGUCCAGUCUUGAGUAUGUUUUCAAGUGCAGUCUGACAUCUCCAAGGUAGAUGGUCCAGGAACAUGUAUGGUGAUACUAUUAUAUCUUUGAAUGCUUCUCUUUUCGCUACAUACGCCCUGAACCUGCAUCUUCUCUCCCAACUUUUCCAGAGCUUCCACAAUGGUUUAUGAAGACCAUCCUUCUGUGGCACAAUAUGAAUAACAAGACCAGGUAAAUACAACUCUGGAAUACUCAAUGAUGAUUUAUUUUCAGAAGAUGGAACAGCCUCCAUAAAUUCGGUUAAAGGAUCACUAAAUGGACUUGAAUCAGAAGUGGAGCAAUUGAAAGGACUGCUGAAAUGAUUUGAUGAUUCAGUUGAAACGAUUUCAUCAUCACACCUAAAAUCGGUAUCUAUGUCAUGCAAAACAGAGGAUCCUGCUUCACGCUUUGCCAAUCCAUUUUCAAGUUGGCCAUGGUUGAUUUGGUUUGUACAACUUGACAUUGCUGUCAAAGAAUUCACUGACGAUUCUCCGUCGUUCAUGCUUUUCUGACAGACGGUCAAUGAAGUAAAGUGCUGAGCAAGUUUAAGAAUUGUUGUAAUAUCAAUAGUGCCAUCUUCUG